This 402-nucleotide ribosomal RNA is filed under the name uncultured bacterium. RNAcentral's name for it is "bacterial SSU rRNA". It matches the Rfam family "Bacterial small subunit ribosomal RNA", at positions 355 to 751 of the family's 1533-position model. The record is from RNAcentral.
UAAGGAAUAUUGGUCAAUGGAGGGAACUCUGAACCAGCCAUGCCGCGUGAAGGAUGACGGCCCUCUGGGUUGUAACUACUUUUGGUAUGGGGCGGAAAAAACGGGAAGUUUAUCCUGGACUGACGGUACCAUCAGAAUAAGCACCGGCUAACUCCGUGCCAGCAGCCGCGGUAAUACGGAGGGUGCAAGCGUUAUCCGGAAUCACUGGGUUUAAAGGGUGCGUAGGCGGUUGUAUAAGUCAGGGGUGAAAGCACGCAGCUUAACUGUGUAAUUGCCUUUGAUACUGUACGGCUUGAAUAGGGUUGAGGUUGGCGGAAUGUGACAUGUAGCGGUGAAAUGCAUAGAUAUGUCAUAGAACACCGAUUGCGAAGGCAGCUGACUGGGCCUAUAUUGACGCUGAGG